UGGGGAAUUUUGGACAAUGGGCGAAAGCCUGAUCCAGCAAUGCCGCGUGUGUGAAGAAGGCCUUCGGGUUGUAAAGCACUUUUGUCCGGAAAGAAAUCCUUGGCUCUAAUACAGUCGGGGGAUGACGGUACCGGAAGAAUAAGCACCGGCUAACUACGUGCCAGCAGCCGCGGUAAUACGUAGGGUGCAAGCGUUAAUCGGAAUUACUGGGCGUAAAGCGUGCGCAGGCGGUUUGCUAAGACCGAUGUGAAAUCCCCGGGCUCAACCUGGGAACUGCAUUGGUGACUGGCAGGCUAGAGUAUGGCAGAGGGGGGUAGAAUUCCACGUGUAGCAGUGAAAUGCGUAGAGAUGUGGAGGAAUACCGAUGGCGAAGGCAGCCCCCUGGGCCAAUACUGACGCUCAUGCACGAAAGCGUGGGGAGCAAACAGGAUUAGAUACCCUGGUAGUCCACGCCCUAAAACGAUGUCAACUAGUUGUUGGGGGAUUCAUUUCCUUAGUAACGUAGCAACGCGUGAAGUUGACCGCCUGGGGAGUACGGUCGCAAGAUUAAAAACUUAAAUGAAUUGACGGGGUCAUA
RNAcentral lists this ribosomal RNA (577 nucleotides) under uncultured bacterium. RNAcentral describes it as "partial 16S ribosomal RNA". It matches the Rfam family "Bacterial small subunit ribosomal RNA", at positions 355 to 923 of the family's 1533-position model. The record is from RNAcentral.